RNAcentral lists this ribosomal RNA (1034 nucleotides) under Rhodococcus sp. AMF3539. RNAcentral's name for it is "bacterial SSU rRNA". It matches the Rfam family "Bacterial small subunit ribosomal RNA", at positions 45 to 1120 of the family's 1533-position model. Lineage: Bacteria; Bacillati; Actinomycetota; Actinomycetes; Mycobacteriales; Nocardiaceae. The record is from RNAcentral.
AUCAUUACACAUGCAGUCGAGCGGUAAGGCCUUUCGGGGUACACGAGCGGCGAACGGGUGAGUAAUAAGUGGGUGAUCUGCCCUGCACUUCGGGAUAAGCCUGGGAAACUGGGUCUAAUACCGGAUAUGACCUCCUAUCGCAUGGUGGGUGGUGGAAAGAUUUAUCGGUGCAGGAUGGGCCCGCGGCCUAUCAGCUUGUUGGUGGGGUAAUGGCCUACCAAGGCGACGACGGGUAGCCGACCUGAGAGGGUGACCGGCCACACUGGGACUGAGACACGGCCCAGACUCCUACGGGAGGCAGCAGUGGGGAAUAUUGCACAAUGGGCGAAAGCCUGAUGCAGCGACGCCGCGUGAGGGAUGACGGCCUUCGGGUUGUAAACCUCUUUCAGCAGGGACGAAGCGCAAGUGACGGUACCUGCAGAAGAAGCACCGGCUAACUACGUGCCAGCAGCCGCGGUAAUACGUAGGGUGCAAGCGUUGUCCGGAAUUACUGGGCGUAAAGAGUUCGUAGGCGGUUUGUCGCGUCGUUUGUGAAAACCAGCAGCUCAACUGCUGGCUUGCAGGCGAUACGGGCAGACUUGAGUACUGCAGGGGAGACUGGAAUUCCUGGUGUAGCGGUGAAAUGCGCAGAUAUCAGGAGGAACACCGGUGGCGAAGGCGGGUCUCUGGGCAGUAACUGACGCUGAGGAACGAAAGCGUGGGUAGCGAACAGGAUUAGAUACCCUGGUAGUCCACGCCGUAAACGGUGGGCGCUAGGUGUGGGUUCCUUCCACGGAAUCCGUGCCGUAGCUAACGCAUUAAGCGCCCGCCUGGGGAGUACGGCCGCAAGGCUAAACUCAAGGAAUUGACGGGGCCCGCACAAGCGGCGGAGCAUGUGGAUUAUUCGAUGCACGCGAAGAACCUUACCUGGGUUUGACAUAUACCGGAAGCUGCAGAGAUGUGGCCCCUGUGUCGGUAUACAGGUGGUGCAUGCUGUCGUCGCUCUGUCGUGAGAUGUGGUAGUCCGCACGAGCGCACCCUAUCUUAUUGUGCAG